UGUAAUGAUGGGAGGGAGGAUAUAAGGCAGGACUUACGGGUCCUAGCCAGCUGUGCUCCACCUGGUCCGUGAGGCAGUGUGGAGUCCAAAACGACCCUCAAGCCUGAUGCCAGUUCCGGAAGCCCCGUCGGCAACUCUGCCACCUUACACUCCUCUCCCCGUGGAACUGCCUGGGGGUGCUGGCAUGGGGACAUGAGGGAUGUCUGACAGGAGAAACAAGCAUUUCAAGAGUGUGUGGUUGGCUUCGCUGUCCUUUAGGGGGAGGAACUGGAAUCAGUCAACAGGCAAGCCCGACUCCCAGUUCCAGCCCGAACACUGGUCAGCUGAAGACAACGCUGCCACCUUCAUCUCUUCCCUGCCUGUCCUGCUUACAACAGUUGCAAGAAGUUUAUACCCACAUUAAGCCCCCAGAGGCAGGCUGGCAGCCAGCCUUCACCACUGGUGCAGAAAACUGAGUCAACCACCCGGUGUUCCUGGCUGCUCCCCCUGAGAAGCUUUCCCACCCUGUUCCCUGAGUCGAGAGUCUUGGCUGGGCACCUGCUGCACUGUGGACGUGCGGACGCGGCCUCCAGAAGGGGGAAGGGAGCCCUGGCUGGCUUUUCUGAGACGUGUUGAGUGGCUUGCCAUUGAAGACUGUUUCCUCACUCAGGCAGCUGCAUGCCCCAAGUGAGUGACUUCCUCUCUCUGGACUCAGUUUCUGAAUCUGUAGACAGAGAGGGUGGACCAGAUGGUCUUGGAAGUGCCUUCCAGGUCACAUCUCUCCUGUUCCUAACAGCAGGUGGAAGCAGGUGAGGAGGGCAGUCGGGCAGAGAGGAAUGGAGAGGAAUUCCCCCACAGAGGCUCUUGGGAACCACACAAUUCCCCAUUCUGGUGCCACCUGCUUCAAGGGUGUGAGUGAGAGCAGUGCUGGCCUUGAAGCCUACGUCGGUGGGUAGUCUGGCCUCCCCAGAUGUGUCCUUAGGUGUCAUGGGAUCCAUAUCUGGAUCAUCAAGGAGACCUCACUUAGGCUUCUCUUGACUUACCAGGAAAGGCUUAGUCUUGCUUCGGGCAGGCAGCUGCCUCUGGGGCCCAGGCCUGUGGCCCCAGGGGAAAGAAUUGUUGCCCCAAGAUGCUCAUGCAAUGUUGUGUAACUGUGGCAAGGCUGUGCCAUUUUAGCUGGGAUCAACACGCUAAUGGGCACAGGUCCCGGGGGAGUGCAGGUGCCUCCUGGGUGCAAAGUGGCCCUCAUCCCCAUAGCACACAAUGUCUGCACAGCUGAGGCUGGAAGGGACUGGCUGAGGGCCGUGCUGGUGUGGGCAGAUCCCUGGAAGGUCACCUGGGCCAUCUCCUCAUUCUAAAGAUGAGAAGAACGAGGCUUGGAGAGGAUGAGUGUCUUGUUGAGGGUUGCACAGCAAGUUGGGGACACAGCUGCAGGAAAUCCAAGUCUCCUGAUUCCUAGCCCAUGAUAUUUUCUCUCCCACCAAGUUGAAAGGCUGAGGUGAUGGGAGGCCUGGCAUACCACAGAUGGAAACUUGCGUCGUUGCCCCCGGGGCUCAGAUGAUUCUCUAAAAAUGUGUCUGAGGAAGUGAGAGUGCAGGGCCUCUCCUCACACGUUGGAGCUGUAAGUAGGGCACGUGCUUUCAGCUCCAGGCAGGACUGGAGAAGGUUAUGGAAGGGCAGCCAACCAAGAAGCACUUAUUUAAGCAUUUUUAUGUGCCUAGCCCUGAGCUAGGCAUAGUAGGGCAUAAAGGAGCUUUGAAGGACCCUCCCAACACAGCAAUUUCACUGCAGCUGGUGAGCAAAUUUAACUCACAAAUCAAUUACAAAAACAACCCCAUGCAAGCUACUGUUUGUGUAAUAAAAUGUAAGAACAUAUAUUUGUAUUUGCGUAAAGGAAAUCUGGAAGGAUAUAAAAAGAUAAUAAAAGUGUUAACUAAACAGUUACGUGAUGGGGUGGGGGUGAGAUUUUUGUCCUUUGUACCUUUUAAUUACAAAAUUAUUUUGAACUACGUGAAUGCAUUU
Molecule: long non-coding RNA, 2001 nt
Filed under: Pan troglodytes (chimpanzee)
Lineage: Eukaryota; Metazoa; Chordata; Mammalia; Primates; Hominidae
Description: lincRNA
Source: RNAcentral